Molecule: microRNA, 22 nt
Filed under: Chrysemys picta bellii (western painted turtle)
Lineage: Eukaryota; Metazoa; Chordata; Testudines; Emydidae
Also listed under: 39 other names
Description: Cpi-Mir-184_3p (mature (guide))
Source: RNAcentral
UGGACGGAGAACUGAUAAGGGU